RNAcentral lists this ribosomal RNA (483 nucleotides) under uncultured bacterium. RNAcentral describes it as "bacterial SSU rRNA". It matches the Rfam family "Bacterial small subunit ribosomal RNA", at positions 28 to 523 of the family's 1533-position model. The record is from RNAcentral.
GACGAACGCUGGCGGCGUGCUUAACACAUGCAAGUCGAACGGUGACCCAGGGCUUGCCCUGGUGAUCAGUGGCGAACGGGUGAGUAACACGUGGGCAACCUGCCCCUGACUUCGGGAUAACUCCUCGAAAGAGGAGCUAAUACCGGAUACGACCACUUCGGACAUCCGAUGGUGGUGGAAAGUUUUUCGGUCAGGGAUGGGCCCGCGGCCUAUCAGCUAGUUGGUGGGGUAAUGGCCUACCAAGGCGACGACGGGUAGCCGGCCUGAGAGGGCGACCGGCCACACUGGGACUGAGACACGGCCCAGACUCCUACGGGAGGCAGCAGUGGGGAAUAUUGCGCAAUGGGCGAAAGCCUGACGCAGCGACGCCGCGUGAGGGAUGAAGGCCUUCGGUUGUAAACCUCUUCUAGCAGGGACGAAGCGAAAGUGACGGUAACCUGCAGAAGAAGCACCGGCGUAACUACGUGCCAGCAGCCGCGGUAA